This 85-nucleotide transfer RNA is filed under the name Citrobacter sp. T1.2D-1. Its description in RNAcentral is "tRNA-Gly(gcc)". The record is from RNAcentral. Lineage: Bacteria; Pseudomonadati; Pseudomonadota; Gammaproteobacteria; Enterobacterales; Enterobacteriaceae.
GGAAUCGCUGGCCUGGGAUGACGGGGCGGGCGGUCUGCCGUACGGCGGUGAGUUGAUUCUGGCGUUUGACCCGUCCCGAUUCCUC